Long non-coding RNA from Vulpes vulpes (red fox), 1572 nucleotides. The record is from Ensembl. Lineage: Eukaryota; Metazoa; Chordata; Mammalia; Carnivora; Canidae.
UUUGUGAAGUCUUCUUCCUGGAACAUUCCGUGAUACCUUCCCACCAACCAACCAAUCUACGCUGCCUUUUCUCUCCCCACAGAAGUCCAACUUGCUCCACCGUGAAGGAAUUAGAGGAAGAUCAAUUGACCUCACCUGAGUUGAAUAUCUACCAAGAUUAAGCCGGAUGGGAGAAGGUAAUUGAAAGCCGACUACAGGAAAAGAAGAGAAGCAGAAAAGAAAUAUAUUUAGGAAAUACGGACAAAGAUUGUCUUGGAUUCCAUGAAGAUCAGCUGUUAGGAGAUAUGUGACUUAAUAAUUUUCAUUCUGGUCAGGUGGCCGUAGCUGGCACACAAGUAGAAACAGAUGUUGUGAAGGGUAAGGAGGUAUGUGGUGCCAGUGUCUCGGUUCUGGGAAAAGGAAGCACUUCACAGAGAGUAGGUGCCACCCAUAGGGGCUGUCGUCUGCCAAGUGAAACCAGUUUGGCUGAGAGAGCUAAAAAUAAUUUCCAAGGGUAUAAGGGCUGUUUCCAUCACUUCCUCUUCCUCAAGAGUCCAGAAACCCCUCCAGGUCCUUGGACUGCAGCUCCAUAGAUCAGACCCCAGGCCAGUCGGUGGCAUGCUUCCUUCUGCCCGUGUGAAGGACACAGCCUGCGACCCAGUCCACCCCACGAUGUCUUCUCAAUUAGGGCAGGCCGGAAAACAACUGUGAUCAGUAUUUCAGCUCUGUGGACAAUUUCCCUCGUGUGGCCCAAUGAUGGAGGCCAUUCAACCAUUCAGCAGGCCCACCAGCCCUGCGACAAUCAUACUCCAGGCGUGCUCCCUGGCCUGCCCCUUUAGGACUUCUAGGCAUAUAUGUAUAAAAAGUGUUAUGUGAUUCUUAAACAAAAUUUAAGUCAUCCAUAUUUUUCUUCCUGAGGAAUAAUCACUAUUAAAUUCUGAUGUGUGUGGUUUUAGUCUGUUGGCUGUAUACAAGCACAUGCAUACAGACAUUUUUAAACUUCAUGAAAUGUAAGCCCAUAAAGAAUUGUAAGGAUUGUUGCAGCCUAGGGUCCUCAGGACCCUGAAGAAUUCUUGUGACUGGAUAUAAGAGCUAGGGAUUGCUCCCAUUCAUUGGAAUUUAGCUUUUGACUUGAGGAGCUAGGAAGGGUGAAAGACGGCAUCAUUUACGACAUUGCAUUCAGCAGUGUUUUUAGAUCAGAGAAACCAAUUUGAAUGAUUCAUCUUUGUUGAAACUCAGUUUUGGUGUCUGCCUCCCUCCCAACCUCCCCAAAGCAGUUCUUUCAUUCAGAAUAGCAUUUAACAUAAAUCAUAACUCCGGAAAAAAUGAGAGAGUUGCUUCAGUAAACAUAAAAAGUUUAUCUUCUGUUUGAACCUAAUACCCAGAAAGUUGUAAUUCUUUCUAUCAAAAUGAAUUUUUACUAGACAGUUGACUUCAGAUCCUUGCUUUCUUGGUAUUUUCUCAGCUGUAGAUAGGAACAUUACAUGUGGUAAAUAUUGAAUUGUAAUUUAAAGUAUCCAAGGGUGUUUUAAGACUUUUUAAUGUUGUGGAUGUUCUUACUUUUGGAAGAUUCAUGCUGAAUCAUGGCAAACA